AUCCAGAUGACGAAUCUCAAAUAUGAAGAAACGUGCGUCGUGGAU
RNAcentral lists this non-coding RNA (45 nucleotides) under Schistosoma margrebowiei. Lineage: Eukaryota; Metazoa; Platyhelminthes; Trematoda; Strigeidida; Schistosomatidae. The record is from RNAcentral.